GAUGAACGCUGGCGGCGUGCCUAAUACAUGCAAGUCGAGCGAACAGAUGAGGAGCUUGCUCCUCUGACGUUAGCGGCGGACGGGUGAGUAACACGUGGAUAACCUACCUAUAAGACUGGGAUAACUUCGGGAAACCGGAGCUAAUACCGGAUAAUAUAUUGAACCGCAUGGUUCAAUAGUGAAAUACGGUUUUGCUGUCACUUAUAGAUGGAUCCGCGCCGCAUUAGCUAGUUGGUAAGGUAACGGCUUACCAAGGCGACGAUGCGUAGCCGACCUGAGAGGGUGAUCGGCCACACUGGAACUGAGACACGGUCCAGACUCCUACGGGAGGCAGCAGUAGGGAAUCUUCCGCAAUGGGCGAAAGCCUGACGGAGCAACGCCGCGUGAGUGAUGAAGGUCUUCGGAUCGUAAAACUCUGUUAUUAGGGAAGAACAAAUGUGUAAGUAACUAUGCACGUCUUGACGGUACCUAAUCAGAAAGCCACGGCUAACUACGUG
RNAcentral lists this ribosomal RNA (497 nucleotides) under uncultured bacterium. Its description in RNAcentral is "partial 16S ribosomal RNA". It matches the Rfam family "Bacterial small subunit ribosomal RNA", at positions 28 to 507 of the family's 1533-position model. The record is from RNAcentral.